RNAcentral lists this long non-coding RNA (309 nucleotides) under Elaeis guineensis (African oil palm). RNAcentral's name for it is "long non-coding RNA (EGUI_LNC062876)". The record is from RNAcentral. Lineage: Eukaryota; Viridiplantae; Streptophyta; Magnoliopsida; Arecales; Arecaceae.
CACCCCAUCUCUAAUUCAUCAGACUCUGAUCCAUCCAGUCAUGAUAUCUAUUAGAUCCAGUAUAGUCUGUCCUUUCUUUAGUUUUUAGGAUCUAUCUUGUAGGCCUUGCAAUGAAAUGUUGACUGACUGACUCUUGGAUAGUUUCUAUCCAUGUCUUUUGUACUCUAAGUUGACACUUAUGUAUUGAAAUAUCUAUGUACUCAAUCACUUUUUGGAUAUAUAUAUAUGUACUUUGACUUUCAAUGAAUAUCUUUGAAUGUGAUCAAAUGGAGUUACUUUUAAAUCAUGAAAUACUUGCAUAGCAAUAUC